This 253-nucleotide ribosomal RNA is filed under the name uncultured bacterium. Its description in RNAcentral is "partial 16S ribosomal RNA". It matches the Rfam family "Bacterial small subunit ribosomal RNA", at positions 524 to 776 of the family's 1533-position model. The record is from RNAcentral.
UACGUAGGGGGCUAGCGUUGUCCGGAUUUAUUGGGCGUAAAGAGCGUGUAGGCGGCUUUACAGGUCCGUUGUGAAAUCUCGGGGCUUAACUCCGAAACUGCAUUCGAUACUGCCGUGCUUGAGGACUGGAGAGGAGACUGGAAUUUACGGUGUAGCGGUGAAAUGCGUAGAUAUCGUAAGGAAGACCAGUGGCGAAGGCGGGUCUCUGGACAGUUCCUGACGCUGAGGCACGAAGGCCAGGGGAGCAAACGGG